RNAcentral lists this ribosomal RNA (498 nucleotides) under uncultured archaeon. Its description in RNAcentral is "bacterial SSU rRNA". It matches the Rfam family "Archaeal small subunit ribosomal RNA", at positions 1 to 530 of the family's 1478-position model. The record is from RNAcentral.
UCCGGUUGAUCUGCGGAGUGCUACCGCUAUUGGAGUUCGAUUAAGCCAUGCGAGUCGAGAGUCUUAGUGGACUCGGCGUACCGCUCAGUAACACGUGGGUAACCUGCCCUAUGCUGGGGAAUAACCUCGGAGAAACUGAGAAUAAUGCCCCAUAGUCCACAAUGCCUGGAACGGUUUGUGGAUUAAAGCUCCGGCGGCAUAGGAUGGGCCUGCGGCGUAUCAGGUUGUAGGGGGUGUAACGUACCCUCUAGCCAUCAACGCGUACGGGUGUUGGGAGACAUAGCCCGGAGAUGGAUUCUGAGACACGAAUCCAGACCCUACGGGGUGCAGCAGGCGCGAAAACUUGGCAAUGCGAGCAAUCGUGAACAGUGAACUCCAAGUGGCUGGGGUAGACCCAGUUUUUCUUGACUCUCAAAGGUCUUGGAUAGGGUGGUACGACGGCAGCGCGGGUAUCCGGGCCUCAGUGUAUGAUUAUUGGCCUAACUCGUACCGUUGGAA